GAGACAAAAUUGACUUUUGUGAGACAAAAUUUACUUUUGCGAGACAAAUUUGACAAAAUUGAAUUUUGUCUCACAAAAAUCAAUUUUGUUUCACUAAAGUC
Molecule: small RNA, 101 nt
Filed under: Mytilus galloprovincialis (Mediterranean mussel)
Lineage: Eukaryota; Metazoa; Mollusca; Bivalvia; Mytilida; Mytilidae
Source: RNAcentral